This 403-nucleotide ribosomal RNA is filed under the name Fusobacteriota bacterium. RNAcentral's name for it is "Fusobacteria bacterium partial 16S ribosomal RNA". It matches the Rfam family "Bacterial small subunit ribosomal RNA", at positions 355 to 776 of the family's 1533-position model. The record is from RNAcentral. Lineage: Bacteria; Fusobacteriati; Fusobacteriota.
UGGGGAAUAUUGCACAAUGGGGGAAACCCUGAUGCAGCGACGCCGCGUGAGCGAAGAAGGUUUUCGAAUCGUAAAGCUCUGUCCUAUGGGAAGAUAAUGACGGUACCAUAGGAGGAAGCCCCGGCUAACUACGUGCCAGCAGCCGCGGUAAUACGUAGGGGGCAAGCGUUGUCCGGAAUCACUGGGCGUAAAGGGUUCGCAGGCGGAAAUGCAAGUCAGUUGUGAAAGGCAGAGGCUCAACCUCUGUAAGCAAUUGAAACUGUAUUUCUUGAGAUGUGGAGAGGCAAGUGGAAUUCCUAGUGUAGCGGUGAAAUGCGAAGAUAUUAGGAAGAAUACCGGUGGCGAAGGCGACUUGCUGGACACAAACUGACGCUGAGGAACGAAAGCGUGGGUAGCAAACAGG